Salvia splendens (bonfire salvia) is the source of this 7083-nucleotide RNA transcript. RefSeq lists it as uncharacterized. NCBI's taxonomy places the organism in Eukaryota, Viridiplantae, Streptophyta, Magnoliopsida, Lamiales, Lamiaceae. The record is from RefSeq and is a predicted model, not a curated record. The transcript has 8 exons.
CUCAAAUAUAUGAAUUCAUUUUUUUUUGUUUUCUUGAUCAAAUUUAUAUUUUGCUUCCUCACGACAAACACGUCCUAAAGCUAUAUUUUGAAUUCCUCAAAAAUUUCAAUUGCCGUUAUUCAAUUUGAAUUUCCUUUCCCCAAAUCAUAUAUCCCCAAAUGAAGGAACCAAUUCCCGUCGGCACCCUUCCGCCUUUCUCACGCCGGAGACUACACUCCAUCACCGGUCCGAUUUCUCCCCAAACAAUUCGACGCAGCCUCCGUUCGGUCGAUUAAAGCUAUUUUGAAUUCCUCCCAAAUUUCAAUUCCGCCUGACCAUGACCGCCCACCGCUACUGCCGUCGGUCAAUAGCAGCCGGCACUGACUCUCCUUUGCGCAUACACUCGCUGGACUCGCUUGCAGACAGCGGCCUCCGUUCCAGUUGCACUCUCCUCGGUCUGGAAUCGCUGACGUCGCGCACACCAGCCGCCGCGUCGCAAGGCUGUCAUGCCAUCAGUCCAUCCGUCGGAUAUCAGGUGCCGCCGAGCGGUGAGAGGCACUCGAGAAUCCACCGAGCAGUCGCUGCCGUCGGGGUCUCACUUCGGUUGGUGUCAUUCUCCAACCAUAUCGGCUGCACUGUCAAUUUCGUUGGACUGCCGUGGACUUCUCGGCUUAGGUUGACUUGGAAAAAUUUGCAAGGAAUCUUCCUCUUCACCUUAUCGCAACGAUUAUGGUUUGGGAAAGGGAAAAAUCCACGUUCAAGUAUUUGCUAUGUGGAAUUCUUCAGUUGCAUUCCAUGUGUGAUCUUGCCUCCCGGGUGCCCAAAAUUGAAUAGAUAUUGCUUGAUGAUGUGAAGAUAUCGGAACAACAACUGAUUGACCUGGUCUUUUAUCUGCUAGUUCUACUUGGAGCAUACAUACAGAUUGCAGUCUACAAUUGUUGACGGUCAUUAUUUCUUCACAGUACCAAGAGGUUGCUCUAGCAUUGACUGCAUAUUACAAGGUGUACAUAUGCAAAGAGGCAGCAUUUGCUGCUGUUUGUUUAGAAGUCAAGUAUCUGUGGACCAAUGAUUCAUCUAGAAGUGUAUCCCCUACUACUGAAGAGACCUUGAAUCACCUCGGCUGCAGUGUGAUUCUUCUCUUCAAUUUCUACAGUCCCUGUGUCAGCAAAAGUUGUUUCGGGAAUGCAUUGUUAACAAACAGGUUAUUUAUAAGUCAAUUUGAGUCCUGAAUCGUUCGUGCUGCAUCAGAAGAUCAUUUAUUCCAUGAGCUUGGGAAGUGGUGGAUUGCAGGAGCAACUAGCUUCCUGUGUUGGACUCGGCUCUGAUGAAAAAAGGAGUAGCUCUACUUCUCAUUUUUGUAGUCGUCAAAAUCAUGGUCUUUGAGGAUUCGGGUAACUCUACUUCUCAUCUUUUUCAGGUGUUGUUCGAGCCCGUAUAUACUCAACUUGGGAUUCUUCCUACUUAUACAUGAGUGCCUAGCUGCUAUUUAUUUUCAUUCAUGCCUGAUAUGUUGAUUUUUAUAGAGAAUUUAAAUGUGAAUUGACAUGUUAUGAUUAAGAGUAAAUUUCCGAGAGGUUGUCUCACAGCUCUCUAAUCUGUGCAUCUCCCUAGUUUUUAAUGAUUUCGUACACAUCACCAGUCGAUAAACAAAGGAUAUUAGCUUCAUAAAUAUCCAAAAAUUGCCCUAGUACUAUGCUACUUUGUAGUGAGGACGAAAAGCUUCCACGAACAGUGUUUCACCACUUGUUAUUUGUGUGUGCAUGCAAGAUUUUCUCUCUAUUGAUUGUCACUACUUUCACCACUUUUUAUGGGUUAUUAGUGUAGACUUCGUUUCUCUCGAGGGUUGGUCUGUAAACUUCUUGUUGCUUACUAACUUCUGGAGAACUAGGUUUCCCGUGCUUCAGAUACAGUGAUAAUAAUGUUCUUUGGUGCCCGAUUUCUUGAGCUAAGGAGAGAGAACUAUUCCGGUUUUGAAAAAUUAAUUCAAAAAGCCAUACGGCCGAUCAACUGAAUGAGAGCUUUAUGAGUUGCAAUCUUGUUGAUAUUGGUGCAUAAAAAUGAUUUAGGCAAUAGGACUAAAAGCCUCAUAUCCAAAUUAUCACAUGCCUAACCCUACAUAAACCACUAGUGUGCCAGUUUGAGCCCCAAAAGCCUAUUUUCUUUCUUGAAAAUUUUGAAGUCACUAUAUUAGCCUACUUAUUAUAUCCGUUUGUUGGCCUAUAUUUUCUACCCUAGUCACUAAAAUUAAAGUGCUAGCACAUUAUUAUUGGGAGGGUAUUUAUGGUGGCAAGGAAAAGAUGGAAGUCCUGGAACAUUCAUUAGGUGGUAUUCAUUUAUAUUGAGAUACAAAUGAAAAAAGUUGUCUCUUCAAACAAAAGUAAAAUAAAAAGGCAGCCUUUAAUGUGUAAAAAAAGCCAAGGCUUGAAAAAAUAAAAAAUAAAAAGGCAACCUUUCACGUGUAAAAAAAAGCCAAGGCUAGAAAAAAAAUAAAAUAAAAAGGCAGCCUUUCAUGUGUAAAAUAAAAAGCCAAGGCAAGUAAAAAAAUAAAAUAAAAAGGCAGCCUUUCAUGAGUUAAAAAAGCCAAGGCCAGAAAAAAGAAUAUCGAGCGAAAAACAGAAAUAUGCUCAAAAGAAUAAGAUCACUUGGUUUAGAAGGUAGAAAAAUCUGUUGGGGUGUUGAGCUGUCAGAAUUUUGUAUUUUAGUGAGAUGGGAAGGAUGUUGUGAGGGAUGUGCUAGUAUUUUAAGAAUAGUGAUAAGCUACUUAUCCAAAUAUGAUCACACCUUUACCAAAAGCCCCGUUACAUCCAAAUGAAAAGACCUUUUGAUUUAUGCAUCAUAUUGACUUGUGAGCGAUGAAUUUUGCUUGAUUUUGGGAGAAAGAUCUUAUGUGCUUAAAAUAAAGAAUAGCUGGAAGAACUUCUCUUUAUGAAUUAGCGACGAUGGUUUGAGACUCCCAAGACAUAAAUCGAACUUACAUUGAAGCAUUGGAUGCCUAGCUCUUAGGGAAUUAGUUCGUGUACAAUUCUUGUUCUAAAAGUCUUACUCGCGAGUGAAUUCGGGCUCAACCUAGUUUCUCUAAAUGAUUCGUGUGAUUUGACGUGACUUGAAGUAGAGGAUUAUCUAAUUUCUUGUGAAUGUGCUUAUUUAUCUAACUUGCUUGAGGGCGAGCAAGACUUAUGUUUGGGAAGUAUUUGAUGUGUGUGGGUAAUUGUUUAAACAUUUAUUCCAGCAAGUUGAAGGGUAUAAAGUUGCAACCAAUAUUUGCUUCAAUAUUCAAACAUUUAUUUACUUUAGUUCGAUAUUUAGUGUGUCAUUUCAUACUAAAGCCAUCAAUGAAAAACUACUGCCAAAUCUUUAUGAUACUCUACACUUGUUGGUACCUGAUAAAAUUGGGGUUGGAAUUGCUUUGUCUAAUUCUGAAGAACACAAUAUCACCACGAUACCAGGAUGUGUGGUUAGUUAUUCUCUUCUUUGUACAUACAUUUAGACAUAAUUUUUUUGUUUGCUGUAGGAAGUGGAAUACAUACAACAGUUUAUUAUUUUUAUCUCCUUGGAAUUCUUCUACUUGUUGCACUAAACCUUAACCCUUUUCUUGGCUGUAUUUAGGAAAGACUUUCUGUUUGAGUCAGAUUGCAGAGCUGCUGUGUACCAAUCCUGUUGCGUUUGAGGCUACUGAGAUAAUUCAGCAUAUUCUUGUGCUACUCUUAGUCGAUUUGAAGGCCUCUCUAAGCAUUUAGAUUCGUUCUUGCAAAUGUUAUCUCUCGUGGAACUAAAGUGUUUUCCGUGAUAGUUCCUACUGCAUAAAUAGACUAGAAAGUACUUAGUCGAUCCGAAGGUCGAGGGUGGUAGGGGGCGACUGAGUUCUUAACUUAAAAGAUGAGGGGGAAAGGGUGGAAAACUGAAGGCACAAGUCUAUUUAUUGAUUUUUGAGCUUGCUUUGUGAUCUUUUGUUUCUUGGUUGUUGCGCCUAUAUUUUUCCUACUUAUUUAAUUCAUUCUUUGCUGCAUUUUGCAGUUUUAUAAUUGAUCUGUUACACAUAUUAUAUUUUUGUUUGUUAUAAUUGAUCUGUUCCAUAUAUUAUAUUUUUGUUUGUUAUACUGUGCCUGACGUUUUUCUACUUUUUCUAAUCCACUUUUUGCUACCUUGCACCAUAAUUAAUUAAUACAUACAUAGCAUCCUAUUUUUCUUUGUCUCAUAUGCCCUGACAAAUACGUGCUAUAUAAGUGUUUCUUUGAUAUGUAAACCCCAUUGAUUGUCAAAUCUUGGUUUCUUAAUAUAUAUGUUAAAUGUUUUUAUAGGCUCUUUCCUAGUUACUUACUACACACAUUUCCUUUUUACUUUGGCAUUCGGUUUGCUGUAAUUGCAUCUAAAAAAAGAAACUGUGGGCCUUGGAAGCUGGUUGGACACUCAAUUAGUGUCAAGUAAAGAUACUUUCUAUGAGGAAUGGAAACUGCAGCUUGUUGCCACUAUGUACAAUACAUGGAAUCUAGACUACUUUGAUUUCUGUAUAUUUGGUCAAGUUCCUCAACAAUUUAAUUUGACUUAACAUCUCUUAUAUGCCAGUUCAGUAGUUUGUACAUAGUCUACUGUGUUUGAGUUUGUUUUCUUUACCUGUCCGUUUGAUGAUUAUGAUUGAUACAACAAAUUCUGGUUUACUGAGUGAACAUAAGAACAAAUUAAUAGUGUUGUAAUAUACUAUUCAACUUAACUAUGAGUUGUAAUGUUACCCCGUUCUAAAAUUUUCAGCUUGCCUGUAAUGUUUAUCCUUUGUGAAUGUUUCUGCUUCAGGAUCAGUCAAUAAGCAUCAACUUGUGACUCACCAUAUGCUGUGUAUUGCUCUACGAGCUGCUUUAGAUGCUGUAGGGAAGCUUGCAAAUUCAAGAGUUUGUUCCUUCCUAGGUUAUUGGUUAAUGUUAUUAUUGUGAAUUUCAGUCUAACCUUGGAUUUAUGACAUUCCAAUGUUUUCCUUCGGGAGAAAGGCAUUAGAGCAGUUUCUGGACCAUCUCAUUCAGUAUAACUGCUCUUUUUUUGACCACCUCACUAUUUAUUCCAGCGAGUUGAAGGGCUGCAACCAAUACUUGCUUCAAUAUUCAAACAUUUAUUUGUUAAACCUAACUUUAGUUCGAUAUUAAGUGUGUCAUUUCAUACUAAAGCCAUCCAUCAAUGAAGAACUUCUGCAUAAUCAGUCUGAUGCUCUACACUUGUUUGUACCUGAUAAAAUUGAAGUUGGUCUAGCUUUGUCUAAUUCUGAAGAACACGAUACCAGGAUCUGUGGUUAGUUAUUCUCUUCUUUAUACAUACAUUUAGAUAUAAUUUUUUGUUUAGUUGUAGGAAGUGGAAUACAUACAACAGUUUAUUAUUUUUAUGUCUUUGGAAUUCUUCUACGUGUUGCACUAAACAUGUAACCCUUUUCUUGUCUGUAUGCAGGAAAUAAAUUCUUUUUUAGUCAGAUUACAGAGGUGUGUGCCAAUCCUGUUGCACUUCCUGUUGCACUUGAGGCUGCCGAGAUAAUUCAGCAUAUUCUCGUGUUACUCUUAGUCAAUUUGAAAGCUUCUCUUUGCAUUUAGAUUCAUUCUUGCAAAUGUUAUCUAUUGUUCAACUACUAAUGUGUUUUCCUUGAUAGAUCCUACUGCAUAAAUAGAGUAGAUUGUACUUAGUCGAUCUGAAGGUCGAGGGUGGUAGGGGUUGACUGACUUCUUAACUUAAAAGAAGCGGGGGGAAGGGCUGAAGACAGAAGGCACAAGUCUAUUUUUUGCUUUUUGAGCUUGCUUUGCUUGAUCUUCUGCUUCUCUGUUGUUGCGUCUAUAUUUUUCUACUUAUUUAAUUCGUUAUUUGCUGCCUUUUGCAGCUUUAUAAUUAAUCUGUUACGUAUAUUAUAUUUUUGUGUGUUAUUAUACUGUGCCUGAUAUUUUUCAGUAUUUUUAAUCCACUCUUUGGUACCUUGCAGCUUUAUAAUUAAGGCAUACGUAGUUUCCUAUUUUUCUUCGUCUCAUAUGCCGUGUACAAAUAUGUGCUAUAUUAGUGUUUCUUUGAUAUAUAAACCCCAUUUAUUGUUAACUCUUGGCAUAUUAAUAUAUCUGUUAAUGUUUUUACAAGCUCUUUCCCAAGUACUUAUGAGACACAUUUCCUUUUACUUUGGCAUUCGGUUUGCUGUGUUGCCACUACUGUGGCAGGGUAACUGAUCUUUCUCAUGAUUUUAAUAUUUUUGCAAUGCCGGAUUUAAUGACAAUGUAUGGAAUCUAGACUACUCUGAUCUCUAUAUAUUUGAUGGCAUGAUUUUUUCUGUUGAAGUGAUCUGUUUGGUCAAGUUCCUCAACAAUUUAUUUUGACCUAACAUCUCUUAUAUGCCAGUUAGGUAGUUUUAUACAUAGUCUACUGUGUUUGAGUUUUUUUAUCUUUACAUGUCCGUUUGAUGAUUAUGAUUGAUAAAUCAAAUUAUUGGUUUACAGAAUACAGAGUGAACAUGGUCCCGGAUAAAUAAUGUUGUAAAAUACUCUUCAACCUAACUAUGUUAAUUGUAAUGUUACCCUGUUGUAAAAUUUUCAGCUUGCCUAUAAUGUUUAUCCUUUGUGAAUGCUUCUACUUCAGAUCAGUCAUUAAGCAUCAACGCGUGACUCGCCUUACGCUGGGUAUUGCUUUACGAGCUGUUUUAGAUGCUUUGUGGAAUCCUGCAGAUUCAGAAGUUUGUUCCUUCCUAGGUUAUCAGGGAAUGUUUUUAUUGUGAAUUAUAGUCUGACCUUGGAUUUAUGACAUUAUGAUGUUUUCAUUUGGGAGUAUGGCAUUGGAGCAGUCUGUGGACCAUCUUGAGUGGCCUUAGUACUUCCAUCAUAUCCUAUACUUUGCAGCAUUUAUAGAGAGGGAACUUAACAGUAUUUCAGCGGCUUAUACUGAACCUGAUGUUGGCCAUAGUGCCAAUACUGAUCACCGACGCGGUUAUUUUGGUUUCAGAUUGCAGGCCCACCAUUUUCUCUGAUCGGACCCGGCAGCAUAUUGUGUGGAUUAGCAAUUCCCUCUUCGAUCUCACUACAACAGAGACCACCAAGUUCUCUAGAUGAGAGUUGACUCCUAAUUACAUGAAGCCAUCACAACACACCUACCCUUCCU